This 264-nucleotide ribosomal RNA is filed under the name uncultured archaeon. Its description in RNAcentral is "partial 16S ribosomal RNA". It matches the Rfam family "Archaeal small subunit ribosomal RNA", at positions 717 to 982 of the family's 1478-position model. The record is from RNAcentral.
ACACGACUACAUUAGAUACCCGGGUAGUCCUAGCCGUAAACGAUACUCGCUAGGUGUCGGCCACGGUGCGACCGUUGUCGGUGCCGUAGGGAAGCCGUGAAGCGAGCCACCUGGGAAGUACGGCCGCAAGGCUGAAACUUAAGGAAUUGGCGGGGGAGCACAACAACGGGUGGAGCUUGCGGCUUAAUUGGAUUCAACGCCGGAAAUCUUACCGGGACCGACAGCAACAUGAAGGCCAAGCUGAAGACUUUGCCGGAUUAGCUG